AUAUAUUCCAAUGUUGAGAAGAAUAAUCCAGAAUAUACCAUUCACACGCUUCUCCGGUUUCCGAUUCAGCAGCGGUUUUCCCAGCUCCAACUGCGUCGUUCAUUUUGCACAUCGUGAUGGGCUUCGCACAAACGGAACGCGCGCGGAGACGAAGAACAUUUCUAAAUUGGGGAACGGCAAAAGACGAUGAGAAGGGAUUGAACAACGG
This 208-nucleotide unclassified non-coding RNA is filed under the name Hevea brasiliensis (rubber tree). Lineage: Eukaryota; Viridiplantae; Streptophyta; Magnoliopsida; Malpighiales; Euphorbiaceae. The record is from RNAcentral.